RNAcentral lists this ribosomal RNA (121 nucleotides) under Salinibacterium rubrum. The record is from RNAcentral. Lineage: Bacteria; Bacillati; Actinomycetota; Actinomycetes; Micrococcales; Microbacteriaceae.
GUUUCGGCGGCCAUAGCGAGAGGGAAACGCCCGGUAACAUUCCGAACCCGGAAGCUAAGACUCUCUGCGCCGAUGGUACUGCAAGGGGGACCUUGUGGGAGAGUAGGACACCGCCGGACUU